CAGAGGGGGCAAGCGUUGUUCGGAAUUACUGGGCGUAAAGGGCGCGUAGGCGGCCUUCUAAGUCGAACGUGAAAUCCCCGGGCUCAACCCGGGAACUGCGUCCGAUACUGGAAGGCUUGAAUCCGGGAGAGGGAUGCGGAAUUCCAGGUGUAGCGGUGAAAUGCGUAGAUAUCUGGAGGAACACCGGUGGCGAAGGAGGCAUCCUGGACCGGCAUUGACGCUGAGGCGCGAAAGCCAGGGGAGCAAACGGGAUUAGAUACCCCGGUAGUCCUGGCCCUAAACGAUGAAUGCUUGGUGUGGCGGGUAUCGAUCCCUGCCGUGCCGAAGCUAACGCAUUAAGCAUUCCGCCUGGGGAGUACGGUCGCAAGGCUG
This 372-nucleotide ribosomal RNA is filed under the name uncultured organism. RNAcentral describes it as "bacterial SSU rRNA". It matches the Rfam family "Bacterial small subunit ribosomal RNA", at positions 526 to 896 of the family's 1533-position model. The record is from RNAcentral.